This is a small nucleolar RNA of Lactuca sativa (garden lettuce), 107 nucleotides long. NCBI's taxonomy places the organism in Eukaryota, Viridiplantae, Streptophyta, Magnoliopsida, Asterales, Asteraceae. The record is from RefSeq and is a predicted model, not a curated record.
AGAUCAUUUUGGGGACAAUUACAAAGUAAUCCCUUGUAGCACUCCCAAGCUUUAUACAAUUACUCACCCACUUGUUGCUCGAAAUUAGCUAUGGCCUUCUUGAGUUU